GGAAUGAAUAGGGACAGGCCAGCAGAACAGGUACCAGGACAGGAACAGGGACAUUGAUCACGUCAUUAAGAUAGGUUCAGCCAAACUCAGCAAACUGCUUAAAGAAGCUCAUACUGAAAGUCGCUGGAAAUUGGCACACCAGAGCUGGAAAGAAGCUCAAGCUGAGAGAAGCAGAGCCUUGCACAUAACUG
Oxyura jamaicensis (ruddy duck) is the source of this 191-nucleotide long non-coding RNA. RefSeq lists it as uncharacterized. Lineage: Eukaryota; Metazoa; Chordata; Aves; Anseriformes; Anatidae. The record is from RefSeq and is a predicted model, not a curated record. The transcript has 3 exons.